GGUUGGUGAUGUCAUGGCAUGUGUGAGUUGAAUCCAAAGUUGAGGUCAGUACUACAAUGCUACUAAAAUCUU
Small nucleolar RNA from Suricata suricatta (meerkat), 72 nucleotides. Lineage: Eukaryota; Metazoa; Chordata; Mammalia; Carnivora; Herpestidae. The record is from Ensembl.